AAAGCAAAUUUAAGGGGCCUGAAGAAUGGCUCCUCUGUUUAUAACAUGCCCAACGGGAAACUGAGAUCAUUGUGACCAGGGGCACAGAACAUGUGGCCUCUCUAUGAACAAAUUCUCUACAUGU
Otolemur garnettii (small-eared galago) is the source of this 124-nucleotide small nucleolar RNA. The record is from Ensembl. Lineage: Eukaryota; Metazoa; Chordata; Mammalia; Primates; Galagidae.